CCCAGACUCCUACGGGAGGCAGCAGUGGGGAAUAUUGCACAAUGGGGGAAACCCUGAUGCAGCGACGCCGCGUGAGUGAAGAAGUAUUUCGGUAUGUAAAGCUCUAUCAGCAGGGAAGAAGCAAGACGGUACCUGACUAAGAAGCCCCGGCUAACUACGUGCCAGCAGCCGCGGUAAUACGUAGGGGGCAAGCGUUAUCCGGAUUUACUGGGUGUAAAGGGAGCGUAGACGGUAUGGCAAGUCUGAAGUGAAAACCCAGGGCUUAACCCUGGGACUGCUUUGGAAACUGUUAGACUAGAGUGCUGGAGAGGUAAGUGGAAUUCCUAGUGUAGCGGUGAAAUGCGUAGAUAUUAGGAGGAACACCAGUGGCGAAGGCGGCUUACUGGACAGUAACUGACGUUGAGGCUCGAAAGCGUGGGGAGCAAACAGGAUUAGAUACCCUAGUA
Molecule: ribosomal RNA, 446 nt
Filed under: uncultured bacterium
Lineage: Bacteria
Description: bacterial SSU rRNA
Rfam family: Bacterial small subunit ribosomal RNA
Source: RNAcentral